CCAAUAGCGUAUAUUAAAGUUGUUGCAGUUAAAAAGCUCGUAGUUGAAUUUCGGGGUCAGCAGGUUGGUCGUGCCACUGGUAUGCACUGGCUUCGCUGAUCCCUCCUUUCUGAAGAACUGUAAUGUCAUUAAUUUGGUGUUGCAGGGAAACAGGACUGUUACUUUGAAAAAAUUAGAGUGUUUAAAGCAAGCUAACGCUUGAAUACAUUAGCAUGGAAUAAUGAAAUAGGACGUUCGAUCCUAUUUUGUUAGUUUCUAGGAUUGACGUAAUGAUUAAUAGGGAUAGUUGGGGGCAUUAGUAUUCAAUUGUCAGAGGUGAAAUUCUUGGAUUUAUUGAAGACUAACUACUGCGAAAGCAUUUGCCAAGGAUGUUUUCAUUAAUCAAGAACGAAAGUUAGGGGAUCGAAGACGAUCAGAUACCGUCGUAGUCUUAACCAUAAACUAUGCCGACUAGGGAUCGGAUGAUGUUAAUUUUUUAAUGACUCAUUCGGCGCCUUACGG
This 501-nucleotide ribosomal RNA is filed under the name uncultured Glomeromycotina. RNAcentral's name for it is "partial small subunit ribosomal RNA". It matches the Rfam family "Eukaryotic small subunit ribosomal RNA", at positions 591 to 1093 of the family's 1831-position model. Lineage: Eukaryota; Fungi; Glomeromycota. The record is from RNAcentral.